AUUGAACGCUGGCGGCAGGCCUAACACAUGCAAGUCGAACGGUAACAGGAAGCAGCUUGCUGCUUCGCUGACGAGUGGCGGACGGGUGAGUCAUGUCUGGGAAGCUGCCUGAUGGAGGGGGAUAACUACUGGAAACGGUAGCUAAUACCGCAUAAUGUCGCAAGACCAAAGAGGGGGACCUUCGGGCCUCUUGCCAUCGGAUGUGCCCAGAUGGGAUUAGCUUGUUGGUGGGGUAACGGCUCACCAAGGCGACGAUCCCUAGCUGGUCUGAGCGGAUGACCAGCCACACUGGAACUGAGACACGGUCCAGACUCCUACGGGAGGCAGCAGUGGGGAAUAUUGCACAAUGGGCGCAAGCCUGAUGCAGCCAUGCCGCGUGUAUGAAGAAGGCCUUCGGGUUGCAAAGUACUUUCAGCGGGGAGGAAGGGAGUAAAGUUAAUACCUUUGCUCAUUGACGUUACCCGCAGAAGAAGCACCGGCUAACUCCGUG
RNAcentral lists this ribosomal RNA (490 nucleotides) under uncultured bacterium. RNAcentral's name for it is "partial 16S ribosomal RNA". It matches the Rfam family "Bacterial small subunit ribosomal RNA", at positions 30 to 507 of the family's 1533-position model. The record is from RNAcentral.